GCCCCAGUAGCUCAGUCGGAUAGAGCAACUGCCUUCUAAGCAGUGGGUCGCGGGUUCAAUUCCUGCCUGGGGCGCCA
RNAcentral lists this transfer RNA (77 nucleotides) under Chloroflexota bacterium. RNAcentral describes it as "tRNA-Arg". It matches the Rfam family "tRNA". Rfam says of the family: Transfer RNA (tRNA) molecules are approximately 80 nucleotides in length. Their secondary structure includes four short double-helical elements and three loops (D, anti-codon, and T loops). The record is from RNAcentral. RNAcentral also lists the same sequence under 2 other names. Lineage: Bacteria; Bacillati; Chloroflexota.